CCAUUAGUGGAUCAAUUGUUGCAGCAGCAUCCGAGGCCAACACAACUAAUCCAAAUUAACUGUAGUAAAACAUAAAAGCUUAUUUACAGACAGAUCUUCUGAAGCGACAUAAUUGCAAUUUUCUUUUACCUAAAAUUUAGGAAGAUAUGAAAUUGAGGCUUUAAACUAACACUAUCUAAUGAAUCCAUGUUUAAACUGGAAACUAGAAACCAGAAAAUGAAACUAUUAAAAGGACAAUGAAGAUUAUGAUUGCCCAAAUUUCCUGAAAUGUAAAAAUGAUAGAUAAUACCCAUUACUUUAAUUUAUAAUGUCCAAUUACAAUUUUAGCACAAGUAGAUGGUAACAGUGAAAAGCAACCCAGGUUUCCUAAGAUGGUGUGUCCUUUUCAAUAUCAAUACUCAUCAUUGUGAUGUAGCAAUUGUGGCAAUAAAUUCAUUUACCAGAAGUCAAAAACGAAAAUGAGAGGUGCUUCUCAAAAUUUUGAGCAUUACAGAGUAAAUAUCAAAAGCCACAAUUUUUUAAAUGCCCACAAUGACAUAUGCUUAUUAAAUCCAUUACAAUGGUCAAUCAGAAACAGAACAAAAAUAACGUAAUCAGAAAAUAAACUAUGAUCAAUUUUUUUUUAAUUAUAUUUUCAUUCUUCAACACACUAAAACUAAACAUAAGCAAAACAUAGAAUAAUAAUAGGUUGAAUUCAAACUAUAAGUCAAAAAAACCUUCAUUUUUUAUUAUAAAAAGCCUACGGAGAGUUAUUACACAAGCAGAAAUAGAUAGUUAGAUAGAUAAUGAAAGAUCUGAAUAAGACAGAUAAGAAUUCAUGAAUCUCAGACCAUAAAUAUUGAACAACAGGGAAAAAAGCGAAGUGGGUUUUGAGCUACCACCACUACUUCAUGUGAAAUCUAGAGCUACAAGCUAAAACAGGAUUAGAAGAGAGACCCAUGAGCCAGAAAUAAAGAAGAAGAAAAUGGGACAGAGAAGAGUAACGAACCUGA
Molecule: long non-coding RNA, 992 nt
Filed under: Lotus japonicus
Lineage: Eukaryota; Viridiplantae; Streptophyta; Magnoliopsida; Fabales; Fabaceae
Description: long non-coding RNA (LJAP_LNC000891)
Source: RNAcentral